This 253-nucleotide ribosomal RNA is filed under the name uncultured bacterium. RNAcentral describes it as "partial 16S ribosomal RNA". It matches the Rfam family "Bacterial small subunit ribosomal RNA", at positions 524 to 776 of the family's 1533-position model. The record is from RNAcentral.
GACAGAGGUCUCGAGCGUUAGGCGGAAUUACUGGGCGUAAAGGGUUCGUAGGUGGCCAACUAAGUCAGACGUGAAAUCCCUCAGCUUAACUGGGGAACUGCGUCUGAUACUGGAUGGCUUGAGUGCAGGAGAGGAAUGCGGAAUUCCAGGUGUAGCGGUGAAAUGCGUAGAUAUCUGGAGGAACACCGGUGGCGAAGGCGGCAUUCUGGACUGCAACUGACACUGAGGAACGAAAGCCAGGGGAGCAAACGGG